GUAGGUGGCAAGCGUUGUCCGGGAAUUAUUGGGGCGUAAAGCGCGCGCAGGCGGUUCUUUAAGUCUGAUGUGAAAGCCCACGGGCUCAAACCGUGGAGGGUCAUUGGAAACUGGAGAACUUGAGUACAGAAGAGGAAAGCGGAAUUCCACGUGUAGCGGUGAAAUGCGUAGAGAUGUGGAGGAACACCAGUGGCGAAGGCGGCUUUCUGGUCUGUGACUGACGCUGAGGCGCGAAAGCGUGGGGAGCAAACAGGAUUAGAUACCCUGGUAGUCCACGCCGUAAACGAUGAGUGCUAAGUGUUAGGGGGUUUCCGCCCCUUAGUGCUGCAGCUAACGCAUUAAGCACUUCGCCUGGGGAGUACGGCCGCAAGGCUG
RNAcentral lists this ribosomal RNA (375 nucleotides) under uncultured organism. RNAcentral describes it as "partial 16S ribosomal RNA". It matches the Rfam family "Bacterial small subunit ribosomal RNA", at positions 527 to 896 of the family's 1533-position model. The record is from RNAcentral.